RNAcentral lists this ribosomal RNA (484 nucleotides) under uncultured bacterium. RNAcentral's name for it is "partial 16S ribosomal RNA". It matches the Rfam family "Bacterial small subunit ribosomal RNA", at positions 30 to 507 of the family's 1533-position model. The record is from RNAcentral.
AUUGAACGCUGGCGGCAGGCCUAACACAUGCAAGUCGAGCGGAUGAAGGGAGCUUGCUCCUGGAUUCAGCGGCGGACGGGUGAGUAAUGCCUAGGAAUCUGCCUGCUAGUGGGGGAUAACGUCCGGAAACGGGCGCUAAUACCGCAUACGUCCUGAGGGAGAAAGUGGGGGAUCUUCGGACCUCACGCUAUCAGAUGAGCCUAGGUCGGAUUAGCUAGUUGGUGGGGUAAAGGCCUACCAAGGCGACGAUCCGUAACUGGUCUGAGAGGAUGAACAGUCACACUGGAACUGAGACACGGUCCAGACUCCUACGGGAGGCCACAGUGGGGAAUAUUGGACGAUGGACGAAAGCCUGAUCCAGCCAUGCCGCGUGUGUGAAGAAGGUCUUCGGAUUGUAAAGCACUUUAAGUUGGGAGGAAGGGCAGUAAGUUAAUACCUUGCUGUUUUGACGUUACCAACAGAAUAAGCACCGGCUAACUUCGUG